This 75-nucleotide small RNA is filed under the name Xanthomonas campestris. Its description in RNAcentral is "sX9 sRNA". It matches the Rfam family "Xanthomonas sRNA sX9". RNAcentral also lists the same sequence under 2 other names. The record is from RNAcentral. Lineage: Bacteria; Pseudomonadati; Pseudomonadota; Gammaproteobacteria; Lysobacterales; Lysobacteraceae.
AUGUACCCAUGUACACUCCGGUUCCUCCGCGCCGCCCGCACCCACCUGACGGCUGCUCGCUACGUUUUGUUAGCC